Molecule: long non-coding RNA, 870 nt
Organism: Gallus gallus (chicken)
Lineage: Eukaryota; Metazoa; Chordata; Aves; Galliformes; Phasianidae
Source: Ensembl
UCUUCUCCUGACUGUGGUGAUUAGAACUGAAUAAUUUUAACCCAGUUUUCACAGUCUUCGAUUCCUCAGCAGCCAGAUCCCUUCUUCAUGGAUCUGCAGAAGCACUGUCGAAACUGAAAAAAAACUUUAAUAGGAAGAACCAGAGAACUGAAUGAGGCACUACUGGAACAGCUCAAUGCUUGACAGGAAAGCAAAAUGGAUCCAUACUGUGGAGUCAAUAAGAAGCACAGAAGAGCACCUCUGGGGAAAGAUUCAGAGAAUAAGAUGAUUAGAACCAUACCUUGGGGAGUUAAAGGGAGAAAUCCCCAAAUGCCUGGAGAACAAGCUGUUCCCGUCGUGAAGUACCUUAACAUCAAAGUGUGGAUGGGAAGCUCCACAGAGCUUUAGCAGAAUCUUAGAGAGACAGAAGUAGUGCUUUCUGAUAAACAAAUCACAAAACCAAAUAUAUCUACAACAGAAGUUACUGAAGUCCAACCAGUAUAUGACAGCAGACUCUUGAGAAGAACCAGAAGGGAAACCAGCUACAUAUUUUUGGUACAAAUCUACAGGAAAUGUAAGAACUAGCAACAGCUUGAUUACAGCAGUGCUAAGAAGAAAGAUCCAUCUACAGUGCAAGAUCCUCUGAAGGAGCAGCUCACUAAAAAUGCUGCAGUAACUUACUAGCAAUGCUGGAAUAAAAUUAAAAGAACAUUGACAGCCCCAGAGACUGUUUAAAUGGUGUCAGAUGGAAAUCUCUUGUUAAAGAUAAAUACUUGCCACACUGAGUUUAAUAAGUCUAACUCACUAGAGUUAUCAAUGACAUCAAGAAACAGCUCAGUUCCUUACAUAAUAUAUUAUCAAGGCAACAACAAUAAGCUUAGGAAACUGCAG